This 1565-nucleotide long non-coding RNA is filed under the name Oncorhynchus mykiss (rainbow trout). Its description in RNAcentral is "lncRNA (ENSOMYG00000062366.1)". The record is from RNAcentral. Lineage: Eukaryota; Metazoa; Chordata; Actinopteri; Salmoniformes; Salmonidae.
AUGGAAUGGACCCAUCUAGUGAAAUGUGAGAAAGUGCGGUACAGAAACUUGAAGAGGAACCACCUGGCUAUGCUUACUAUAGGGCUGAAAUCCCCAGUACCUGCGUUUAUGAGGAGAAGCAGGCCUAAAUUGUUGAACACUGCUCCGCUUUUUGCACCCAGCGACUCAGAGGAGGAUGAGUGGACCCCUCGACUGGAGAGAUGCCCACCAGCAUCCCGGAGCUUCCGACGCCCACCCAGGAGACCAGCAGCAUCUCAGGGAGUCCCUCAGCCUGACAAACCUGCCACACCUGCUACACUUACAGUACAGGUAACUGUUUUUUAAAACACCUGCACAGGUGCAUUUAAUACAUCUUGUGAGUUUUUGUUUCUCUUCUUCACUACGCUAGCAGAUACUAGUCCUGUCAAUGACUGGAGCUGUGAAGUGUGAACCAAUUAAUUAAAUUAUGGUUAUAAAGUGUCUUCGGAAAGUAUUCAUACCCCUUGACCUAUUCCAUAUUUUGUUGUGUUACAGCCCUGAAUUCAACAUGUAUAUCAUGUUCGGUAUGUAAUUGCUCUACUGUAGAUAAAGAGGGCUGACAACUCUGUCUGUUCAUCAUUGUCAUAUUUGUCAUAUAACGCUCUGUCCCCCUCCCCCACCCCUCUCCUUUGAUCCUCAGCAGCCCCCCAGUGGCGAGGAGGCAGGACCCAGUAAUAUGGGGACAGAACCCGCCCAGCCAUUAAUGGAGGAGCUGACAGAAGAGGAAGUGGCCUUCCUCAGAGACGGCAGCCCAGCAGACACCCACAGUGGAGUACAGGAGGGGCUAGGAGCCACGGUGUGUGUUACUGUCAUACACACAACACAACACACAAUAUAUUUUCAUUCAUGUUGUUUCAAAUCAAAGAUGAUGAUGACACACAGGCCAAGUGGUCAGUUUGAACUCUCCUCUUGUCUCUUUCCAGGAGGGUCAGAGUGAAGCGACCCCCAGCACCAGUGGAGGGGAGGCAGGGAGUUCCACAAAGCAAGGGGCUCGUUUGUUGCACCCCAAACCAUCAACCUCAGGUAACAGAGACAGACAAGAAUAGACUGUUAGAGUUUGAUAUGGUGAUUUAAAACCCGUUUGUUUCAUUUGGCUUCAAAGAAAAUAGCUUAUUUUGUGUUUGUACCAGGCCUGUCUAAGAGAGAGUGGCUGGAAAGGCAGAAAGCAGAGCUGAACACAUACAAGCGCAGCAGAAAUCUGAGAGACAGACCAAGAAUCACUUACACAGAGGAGGAGGUCCCCAAAGAUGAUCACUACCUCUGUGAGUCAUUAUCUCUCUAUCUCUCUGUGUAUCUAUCGCUUUCUAUCUAUCUCUCUCGGAAUAAAGACAUUUCAAAUGUCAUAUUAUGUAUAUAUACAGUGUUGUAAUGAUGUGCAAAUAGUUAAAGUACCAAAGGGAAAAUAAAUAAGCAUAAAUAUGGGUGUAUUUAGAGGUCGACCGAUUAUGCUUUUUCCACGCCGAUAUCAAUUAUUGGAGGACCAAAAAAGCCGAUACCGAUUAAUCGGACGAUUUUUCAUGACAAUAAUGACAAUAACAACACUUAUU